This is an RNA transcript of Erinaceus europaeus (western European hedgehog), 8019 nucleotides long. It is a transcript of the gene named golgin A4, with no coding region annotated. Lineage: Eukaryota; Metazoa; Chordata; Mammalia; Eulipotyphla; Erinaceidae. The record is from RefSeq and is a predicted model, not a curated record. The transcript is spliced from 28 exons.
ACCUGCUGCCGUUGUCGCCGCCGCCGUGGCUGGAUGGGGGGCCGAGGCCAGCCAGUGGCACCCAGAAGAAAGAGACGCGGCGGCGGCGACGCCGACACCCGCCGGACGCGUGUCCUGAUCCUCCCACGAGCUCAAGGAGGCGGCGGCGAGGCCCGGCCCCCGAGGUCCCUGGUGUAGAGGAGCCACCGUUGCCGCCGCGACUGGGUCUCCCCGGGGUCCGGGAGCCCCCUUUGGUCUCGUUCAGACUCCAGACCCCCCCGCGCUGCGCCAUGUUCAAGAAACUGAAGCAGAAGAUCAGCGAGGAGCAGCAGCAGCUCCAGCAGGCGCUGGCCUCUACUCAGGCUUCUUCCAGUUCAACGCCAACAAGAAUCAGGAGCAGGACAUCUUCCUUCACAGAGCAACUUGAUGAAGAUACACCCAACAAAGAACUACUAGCCGGGAUGAUAGCAGAGCCUGCUUUUCUCUCUGAGUAUACUAUCUUUGCUUUGGAUUCCUCCAAACAGCCUAAAACACAGACUGACAGUGUGAAUGCAUCUGUUCAAGCCACAAAAUAUCCUGACAGUGUUAAUGGAAGUGAGCCGACAACUCCUCAGGCAGGUGACAUGCAGCCAUUUACACAGAAACUCCAGCUCCGGGUACUUUCUAUGGAGUCUUUGUUUCGAAGUCCAAUAAAGGAAUCUCUAUUUCGGUCUUCCUCUAAAGAGUCUUUGGUACGAACGUCUUCCAGAGAGUCCCUGAAUCGCCUUGACCUAGACUCUUCUGCCACCUUUGAUCCACCCUCUGAUGUAGAGAGUGAGGCUGAAGACUCACUAGGGAAUUUGGACAGUCUCAACAAAGAACAUUUGAUACAGUGCUUGCGAAGAAUGGAGCGAAGGUCGAAUGGCUAUAAAGUAAAGUAUUCUGAGCUUGUUACAGCUUAUCAGGUUCUUCAGAGAGAGAAGAAAAAGCUACAAGGCAUAUUGAGUCAGAGUCAAGACAAAGCACUUCGGAGAAUUGCAGAAUUAAGAGAGGAACUCCAGAUGGAUCAGCAAGCAAAGAAACAUCUCCAAGAGGAGUUUGAUGCUUCUUUAGAAGAAAAAGAUCAGUAUAUCAGUGUUCUCCAGACUCAGGUUUCUUUGCUGAAACAAAGGCUGCGAAAUGGUCCUAUGAAUGAUGAUUCACUCCCUCCAGUGGGGCCCCGGGCUGAAGCUGUCACUAAAGAGGAUGAAGAGAGCGACGCUGAACCCAUAGUGGAAGAUGGAGCUUCUACUAAAACUCUGGAAACACUUCAGCAAAGAGUUAAGCGGCAAGAACACUUACUGCAGCGUUGUAAGAAGACAAUCCAGUCAUACAAGGAACAGUGUGCCCUUUUAACUAGUGAAAAAGAGGCACUGCAAGAGCAGCUAGAUGAAAGACUUCAAGAACUAGAAAAGAUGAAGGAGCUUCAUAUGGCUGAGAAGACUAAACUUAUCACUCAGUUGCGUGAUGCAAAGAACUUAAUUGAACAGCUUGAACAAGAUAAGGGAAUGGUUAUAGCAGAAGCAAAACGGCAGAUGCAUGAAACCCUGGAAAUGAGAGAAGAAGAAAUUGCCCAACUUCGUAGUCGCAUCAAACAGAUGAUGAGCCAGGGAGAGGAAUUACGGGAACAGAAAGAAAAAUCUGAAAGAGCUGCUUUUGAAGAACUUGAAAAAGCCUUGAGUACAGCCCAGAAAACAGAAGAAGCACGGAGAAAACUGCAGGCAGAAAUGGAUAAGCAAAUAAAAGCUAUUGAGAAAACAAGUGAGGAAGAACGCAUCCAUCUUCAACAGGAAUUAAGUCGGGUGAAGCAGGAAGUUGUUGAUGUAAUGAAAAAAUCCUCAGAAGAAAUUGCUAAGCUACAGAUGCAUCACAAAGAGGAGUUAGGCAGGAAAGAGCAGGAACUGACCAAGAAGUUUCAGACCCAAGAAGGGAAACUUCAGGAGCAAAUGAAAGUAGCUCUUGAAAAAAGUCGAUCAGAAUAUUUGAAGAUUACUGAAGAAAAAGAGCAGCAAGAAUCUUUGGCUCUCGAAGAAUUAGAGUUGCAGAAAAAAGCAAUUAUCACAGAGAGUGAAAAUAAACUUCAAGAGCUUCAACAAGAAGCAGAGACUUACAGAACUAGAAUUCUUGAAUUAGAAAGUUCUUUGGACAAAAGUUUGCAAGAAAGCAGAAGGCAAUCAGAAGAUUUGGCAGUCCUUUUGGAAGCCGAAAAAAAUAAACACAAUAAGGAAAUUACAAUCAUGGUUGAAAAACACAAGACUGAAUUGGCGAGCCUGCGGCAUCAGCAGGAUAACCUUUGGACUGAAAAACUAAGAGUCUUAGAGCAACAGCAUCACAUGGAAAUGGAAAACCUUAGAGAAGAGCAUGAGCAAGAGAAAACUACAUUGUUGAAAGACAAAGAAAUUCUCUUCCAGGCCCACAUACAAGAGAUGAAUGAAAAAACUUUAGAAAAGCUUGAUGUGAAGCAAACAGAGCUAGAAUCAUUGUCGUCAGAACUUUCAGAAGUAUUAAAAGCUCGUGACAAACUAGCAGAGGAACUUUCUAUACUACAAGAUCAAGCAGCUAAAGUCAAGCAGGAGUUAGAAGCCAAAUUGGAUGAGCAGAAAAGUCACCAUCAGCACCAGGUGGACAGUAUCAUUAAAGAGCAAGAGAUGUCUGUCCGGAGAGCUGAGAAGGCAUUAAAGGAUGAAAUUCAUCAACUUGGGCUUCUUCUGAAGGAAAAGAACAAGCACUUGGAAGAACACCAGGCUCAUGUGGAAAGUUUAGAGAUGGAUACGAAAAGGUACAAAGAGGAACUUCAGCAGGCAUCUGCAAAGCUGGAUCAUUUCCAGUCGUUCGAGAGCACCUCACAUGAACAGACACAGGCAUAUGAGGAACAGCUGGCCCAAUUGCAGCAGAAGUUGUUGGAUUUGGAAACAGAAAACAAUGUCCUUGUGAAACAGGUAGCUGAUGUUGAAAUGCAAAAGAGAGAUACUUGUACUGAAUUGGACACUCAUAAAACUCAGGCAAAGGACUUAAUGCAGCAACUCGAUAAAAAGAACAGUGAGAUGGAAGAAAAAGUAAAAUCUUUAACUCAACUCUAUGAGACUCAACUCAAAGACAGUAAUAUAGAGCAGGAACAGGCAAAGCAGAUCUUGAUGGAAAAAGAUAAUAUUAUUUUACAAAUGAGAGAAGAACAGGAUAAGGAAAUUGAAAUACUCAAACAGAUGUUGUCAGCCAAGGAAGACAGUAUUAGUAUUUUGCAUGAGGAAUAUGAAACCAAACUUAAAAAUCAAGAAAAAAAGAUGGAAAAAAUUAAGCAGAAGGCAAAGGAAAUGCAAGAAACAUUAAAGAAGAAAUUGUUGGACCAGGAAGCCAAACUUAAAAAAGAACUUGAAAACACUGCCCUCGAGCUCAGUCAGAAAGAAAAACAGUUUAAUGCCAAACUUGUAGAAAUGGCACAGGCUAACUCUGCUGGAAUCAGUGAUGCAGUGUCCAGGCUGGAAACCAACCAGAAGGAACAAAUAGAAAGUCUUACUGAGGUGCAUCGGCGAGAACUCGAUGAUGUUAUAUCAUUCUGGGAAAAGAAGCUUGGUCAGCAAGCUGAAGAACUUCAAGAAAAGCACGAGAUCCAGUUACAGGAAAAAGAGCAAGAGGUAGAAGAACUGAAGCAAAAGAUCAUCGUAUUUGGUUGUCACAAAGAAGAGAUGAGCAAGGAAAUAGCAUGGCUGAAGGAAGAAGGGGUUAAGCAGGAUACUAUAGUCAAGGAAUUACAGGAACAGUUGAAUCAGAAAUCUGCUCAUAUGAAUUCUUUCUCGCAAAAUGAAACUAAACUGAAAGCCCAGCUUGAAAAGCUGGAACUUGACUUGCAUCAUUCUCUGAAGGAAAAUGCUUCUCAACAAGAUCAUAUGGUUGAAUUGAAGAUGCUGGCAGAAAAAGAUAAACUUAAGGUUUCUGAGCUGACUGACAAGUUGAAGACCACAGAUGAAGAAUUCCAGAGUUUGAAAUCUUCACAUGAAAGAAGUAAGAAGAGCCUAGAAGACAAAAGCUUGGAAUUUAAAAAACUGUCUGAGGAUCUAGCAAUUCAGCUGGAUACUUACUCUAAGAAAACUGAAGCCUUAUUACAAGCCAAAACAAAUGAGCUAAUCGACAUUAGUAGUAGUAAGAUUAGCGCCAUUCUUUCUAGAAUUUCUCACUGUCAGCACCACACAACUAAAGUUAGAGAAGUGCUACUAACUAAAAGUUGCAAAGUUUCUGAAUUAGAAGCACAACUCAAACAGUUAACACAAGAGCAGAAUACACUAAGUAGUUCUUUUCAACAAGCUACCCAUCAGUUAGAAGAAAAAGAAAAUCAGAUUAAGCGCAUGAAGGCCGAUAUUGAAGGCCUAGUAACAGAAAAAGAAGCCUUACAGAAGGAAGGAGGCAAUCAUCAACAGGUUGCCUCUGAAAAGGAGUCUUGUAUCACACAGUUGAAGAAAGAAUUAUCAGAAAACAUCAAUGCUGUCACACUGAUGAAAGAAGAGCUCCAAGAAAAAAAGUCUGAGAUCAGCAAUCUGAGUAAACAACUAACUGAUUUGAAUGCUCAGCUUCAGAAUAGUAUCAGCCUCACUGAAAAAGAAGAAGCCAUUUCAUCACUAAGUAAGCGAUAUGAUGAAGAACAAUGCCAACUGCUACACCAGGUGAAAGAUUUAUCUUUGAAAGUUGAAACUCUGACUAAAGAGAAAACAUCUGCUCUGGAACAGGAAAAUCACCUGUCCGACAGGUUCUCAGAAUGGAAGAAGAAAGCACAGUCAAAAUUCACAAAUUAUCAAAAUGCUAUUAAAGACUUGCAGAUGCAGCUUGAGUUAAAAACGAAGGAAGCGAGUGAAAAUGCUAAGCAGUUGGCUUUAUUGAAGGAAAACCUUGAUCAGCAAAAUAAAAAAUUUGAGUGUUUGAAGGGUGAAAUGGAAGAUAAGAAGACCAAGAUGGAGAAAAAGGAGUGCAAUUUGGAGAUUGAGUUAAAAACUCAAACAGCAAGAAUUUUAGAGUUAGAGGAGUGUAUUUCUCAGAAAGUAAUUGAAAUUGAGUCCCUAAAUGAAGGCCUUACAAAUUACAAACAGCAAAAGGAGAUUGAACAGAAUGAAAUGGCUCAGAAACUUCAACACAUUCAAGAGUCAGGAGAAGAAAAAGACAAUAGAGUUAAAGAAACCGAAGACAAAGUUUUAGGACUUGAAAAUCAAGUGUCUUCCAUGAAAUCUGAACUUGAAACUAAGCAGAAAGAAUUGGAACUUGUAAAUUCCAGUAUGAAAAGGAAAGAGGAGGAAUUCAAGACACUGGAAAGCAGGCUUGAGUUGGAAAGUGCUACAAAAUUAGCAGAACUAAAGAAAAAGGCUGAACAAAAAAUCGCUGCCAUUAAGAAGCAGUUGUUGUCACAAAUGGAAGAGAAAGAACAACAGUAUAAAAAAGAUACAGAAAGCCAAUUGAGUGAGCUAAAUACAAAACUGAAAGAAAGAGAAAGAGAAAUUCACACCUUGGAAGAAAAACUUAGAUCAGUGGAAAGCUCACUAAAAUCAGAAACAUCAGUUGUACCCAGCUCAACAAAAGAUGUGGGAGCAUAUACUGAGGAAGCAGCAGCAGAUUCCCAAGAAUGUGUACAGAAGGCUUGUGAAGAGACAAUUAGUGCUUUACAAAAAAAUUUAAUGGAAAAAGAUAAGCUAUUGCAGAAGCUAGAACAGGAACAAGAAGAGAUAAUUUCUUCUCAUUCCGAAAUGCAGUGUAACUACCAGGGGCUCUUAAGAAAGAUAGAACUUGCUGAAGCAAAGCAGCAUGAGGAUCAAGUUACGAUAAAUCAUCUUCAGGAAGAGCUCAAAUUAAAAAACAAGAACUAUCCCUUCAUAGUAUCUCAGCAUGUGGAUGAAGAGGGAGGUAAGAAUAACAGAAAGGCAAAGCAAAACUUGGACAAUGUGAUUGAUGAUGUCCAGAAAAGCCUUCAGGAGAAGGAACAGAUCUUGGAACAAAAGAUAAAAGAAUUGGAUUCUUGCUUAAUAAGAGAGAAAGAAGCACACAGAGUGGAAGUUUUGAAAGAAAGUGCUGAAGAAAAGUUCAAAUCACAUGUCCAGCCCAAAUUGCUCAGUAACAUGGAGGCCGAACGCAGUGACCUGGCGUUCAGAUUAGCAGGGGCAGAGCGGGAGAAGCAGAAGCUGGGCAAGGAGAUUGUUAGAUUGCAGAAAGACCUUCGAAUAUUGCGGAAAGAACAUCAGCAAGAACUGGAUGUGAUAAAGAAAGAAUAUGAACAAGAAAUGGAAGAGAAAAUCAAACAGGAGCAGGAGGAUCUUGAGCUGAAGCACAACUCCACAUUGAAACAGCUGAUGAGGGAGUUUAAUACCCAGCUGGCACAAAAGGAGCAGGAGCUGGAAAUGACCAUAAAGGAAACAAUCAAUAAAGCCCAGGAAGUUGAGGCUGAACUUUUGGAAAGUCAUCAAGAAGAGACAAGUCAAUUACAUAAAAAAAUUGCAGAGAAAGAAGAUGAUCUAAAAAGAACAGCUCAAAGAUAUGAAGAAAUCCUUGAUGCUCGAGAAGAAGAAAUGACGGCGAAAGUAGUGGACCUGCAGGCACAGCUUGAGGAGCUGCAGAAGAAGUAUCAGCAGAGAUUGCAGCGAGAGGAGAACCCUGACACUGAUAAUGUAACAAUUAUGGAACUACAGACACAACUAGCACAGAAGACUACACUAAUCAGUGAUUCAAAGUUGAAAGAGCAAGAGUUCAGAGAACAGAUUCAUAAUUUGGAAGACCGUUUGAAGGAAUAUGAAAAGAGUAUAUGUGCAACAACUGUGAGAACACAUUACAAAGGUGGCAAUUUAUACCAUACUGAUGUCUCACAGUUUGGAGAACCUACUGAGUUUGAGUAUUUGCGGAAAGUGCUCUUUGAGUAUAUGAUGGGUCGUGAGACUAAGACCAUGGCAAAGGUUAUCACUACAGUACUGAAGUUCCCUGAUGAUCAGGCUCAGAAAAUCCUGGAAAGAGAAGAUGCUCGGCUGGUGGUGAUUUUUUUUUUAAAUGUUAAAGAAAAAUACUGCCAACAAUCCAGGAGCAUAUGCCAGCCAGAAGGCUUUCAUCAUCUUCAUCCUCCAACCUGUUUCCAACUUGACAGAUCAUCUUUGUUAGUGGUGAAUACGCCCAGUAUACUUCACCUCGCAGUGGUAUCUUCUGAGUAACCCAUCAGUCUGUGCUUAGUUAGCAUGUGAGCUGCCUUUGAAGUUAAAGUUAUGAGAUAGAGAUGAAAAACGAUUUCUCAGCUAAAAGUGAAGUGACAUAUUUCAUGAAUCCAGAAUUUUAACUGAUAUAAGACCUCCUGAGAGUCAAGACUGGUCUGAAAUAUCAUGGCUCCGAUCUUCAUCUUGAAGAUGUGGGGAGAAUGAUGUUGGACAAGUUUGGACACCUGCACGUUUGCUGACCUUUGGGAAUGACGCUAUUACAUAGGGCCUUUCAUGUAGCCAGAAGCCAAGAAAAAUCUGACAUUGGCCCACAAAUACAUUGAAGACUCCCUUUUAAAUAGAUUUUAUCAGUGGAGAAAUCGUGAUAGGUUUUUUUUCUUUACAUUUAUUGUUGGGAAAAGUUUUAUGUUAUUUAAAGGAAAUUUUGAAUAACUUAACCUGAUUUAUGGGCUCAUUUAAUGUUCCUUUCUUCCAUUCUUCUUGUCCCUCUUUUUAGAGAACUGUUUGCCUUUCCUAUUUAUUUCUAGGGUGAUUUAAAAAAAAAAAAAGACUUGUGCAAUACAUUUUGAGGUGAAACUUAGUGGAUUUUUCUGAUAAAUUAGAGCAAUUAAUUGACUAUUUUAUCCAGAUUGAUUUGUUGAAUAUUUGCUAAAGACCAGUUCUUUCAGCUGACAUAAGAUAUAUCCAGACUGCUGUACCUCAUUGUUUACUUAGCUUUUGUACUUAUAUUUUUCAGAGGAAAAGAUACUACUGUAAAUUGUAAAUAGUCAAUAAAUAACUAUUGUAUGCAAAUCUGUGGCUAUUGGCAAUGUUAUCUUGGAGAAAUAAAUAAAGUUUAUUUACUGUAUAAAAA